This 846-nucleotide ribosomal RNA is filed under the name Staphylococcus sp. M_A_10/10_2(1). Its description in RNAcentral is "bacterial SSU rRNA". It matches the Rfam family "Bacterial small subunit ribosomal RNA", at positions 30 to 857 of the family's 1533-position model. The record is from RNAcentral. Lineage: Bacteria; Bacillati; Bacillota; Bacilli; Caryophanales; Staphylococcaceae.
UGAACGCUGGCGGCGUGCCUAAUACAUGCAAGUCGAGCGAACAGACGAGGAGCUUGCUCCUCUGAUGUUAGCGGCGGACGGGUGAGUAACACGUGGAUAACCUACCUAUAAGACUGGGAUAACUUCGGGAAACCGGAGCUAAUACCGGAUAACAUGUUGAACCGCAUGGUUCAACAGUGAAAGACGGUCUUGCUGUCACUUAUAGAUGGAUCCGCGCCGCAUUAGCUAGUUGGUAAGGUAACGGCUUACCAAGGCAACGAUGCGUAGCCGACCUGAGAGGGUGAUCGGCCACACUGGAACUGAGACACGGUCCAGACUCCUACGGGAGGCAGCAGUAGGGAAUCUUCCGCAAUGGGCGAAAGCCUGACGGAGCAACGCCGCGUGAGUGAAGAAGGUCUUCGGAUCGUAAAACUCUGUUAUUAGGGAAGAACAAAUGUGUAAGUAACUAUGCACGUCUUGACGGUACCUAAUCAGAAAGCCACGGCUAACUACGUGCCAGCAGCCGCGGUAAUACGUAGGUGGCAAGCGUUAUCCGGAAUUAUUGGGCGUAAAGCGCGCGUAGGCGGUUUUUUAAGUCUGAUGUGAAAGCCCACGGCUCAACCGUGGAGGGUCAUUGGAAACUGGAAAACUUGAGUGCAGAAGAGGAAAGUGGAAUUCCAUGUGUAGCGGUGAAAUGCGCAGAGAUAUGGAGGAACACCAGUGGCGAAGGCGACUUUCUGGUCUGUAACUGACGCUGAUGUGCGAAAGCGUGGGGAUCAAACAGGAUUAGAUACCCUGGUAGUCCACGCCGUAAACGAUGAGUGCUAAGUGUUAGGGGGUUUCCGCCCCUUAGUGCUGCAGCUAACG